GGCUCGCACCGCAGCGCAUCGGAGCCCUGCUUAGGCGCCCGCUUAGAGUGCAGGGAGCUGGGUCAGGCAGUCGCUGGGGCACCCGUGCCUGGAAAGUGCCGGAGCGCUCUGGAGAAGCCUGGACAGCCCCGCUCCCCAGCAGCCAGGUGCGAGGGGGCGGGAGCGAAAGUGAGAGUCCGGGCGUCCUCGAGCGCCUGGGCCACGGCGGCGGCCCUAGGAGCAGAGGUAGAGCAACCCCCUUACGCUAAAGAUGAAAGGCUGGGGCUGUCUGGCCCUGCUUCUGGGGGCCCCGCUGGGAACUGCCUGGGCCCGGAGGAGCCAGCAUCUACACUGUGGAGCUUGCAGAGCUCUGGUGGAUGAACUAGAGUGGGAAAUAGCCCGGGUGGAUCCCAAGAAGACCAUUCAGAUGGGCUCCUUCCGAAUUAAUCCGGAUGGCAGCCAGUCAGUGGUGGAGGUGCCUUAUGCUCGCUCAGAGGCCCACCUUACAGAGCUGCUAGAGGAGGUAUGUGACCGGAUGAAAGAGUAUGGGGAACAGAUUGACCCUUCCACCCACUGCAAGAACUACGUACGUGUAGUGGGCCGGAGUGGAGAAUCCAGUGAACUGGACCUACAGGGCAUCCGGAUUGAUAUAGACAUCAGUGGUACUCUCAAGUUUGUGUGUAAGAGCAUUGUGAAGGAAUAUGAGGACGAACUCAUUGAAUUCUUUUCACGAGAGGCUGACAAUGUUAAAGACAAACUUUGUAGUAAGCGAACAGAUCUAUGUGACCAUGCCCUGCAAAUAUAGCAUGAUGAGCUAUGA
This is an RNA transcript of Odobenus rosmarus divergens (Pacific walrus), 799 nucleotides long. It is a transcript of the gene named protein canopy homolog 2-like, with no coding region annotated. The record is from RefSeq and is a predicted model, not a curated record. The transcript has a single exon. Lineage: Eukaryota; Metazoa; Chordata; Mammalia; Carnivora; Odobenidae.